CACGUAGGGUGCGAGCGUUGUCCGGAAUUAUUGGGCAUAAAGAGCUCGUAGGCGGUGUGUCGCGUCGGCCGUGAAAACCUGCAGCUUAACUGUGGGCGUGCGGUCGAUACGGGCAUCACUGGAGUUCGGCAGGGGAGACUGGAAUUCCUGGUGUAGCGGUGAAAUGCGCAGAUAUCAGGAGGAACACCGGUGGCGAAGGCGGGUCUCUGGGCCGAUACUGACGCUGAGGAGCGAAAGCGUGGGGAGCAAACAGG
Molecule: ribosomal RNA, 254 nt
Filed under: uncultured bacterium
Lineage: Bacteria
Description: partial 16S ribosomal RNA
Rfam family: Bacterial small subunit ribosomal RNA
Source: RNAcentral